GACGAACGCUGGCGGCGCGCUUAACACAUGCAAGUCGAACGGAAAGGCCUGCUUUCCCUUGUGGAUUGCGGGUACUCGAGUGGCGAACGGGUGAGUAACACGUGAGUGAUCUGCCCCCAACUUGGGUAUAAGCCUGGGAAACUGGGUCUAAUUCCCGAUAGGACUGCAGGGUGGUGCCUGUGGUGGAAAACGAUUUUCUAGUGGUUGGGGAUGAGCUCGCGGCCUAUCAGCUUGUUGGUGGGGUAAUGGCCUACCAAGGCGGCGACGGGUAGCCGGCCUGAGAGGGUGGACGGCCACAUAGGGACUGAGAUACGGCCCAGACUCCUACGGGAGGCAGCAGUGGGGAAUAUUGCACAAUGGGCGGAAGCCUGAUGCAGCGACGCCGCGUGGGGGAUGACGGCCUUCGGGUUGUAAACUCCUUUCGACCGCGAGGAAGCCACCUGGUUGGAAGGGUGGUGACGGUAGUGGUAGAAGAAGCACCGGCUAACUACGUG
Molecule: ribosomal RNA, 494 nt
Filed under: uncultured bacterium
Lineage: Bacteria
Description: partial 16S ribosomal RNA
Rfam family: Bacterial small subunit ribosomal RNA
Source: RNAcentral